Molecule: ribosomal RNA, 253 nt
Filed under: uncultured prokaryote
Description: partial 16S ribosomal RNA
Rfam family: Bacterial small subunit ribosomal RNA
Source: RNAcentral
ACGUAGGUGGCAAGCGUUGUUCGGAAUUAUCGGGCGUAAAGGGCGCGUAGGCGGUUUGUUAAGUCAGCCGUGAAAGCCCGGGGCUCAACCCCGGAGGGUCAGCUGAUACUGGCAGGCUAGAGUACGGAAGGGGCAACUGGAAUUCUCGGUGUAGCGGUGAAAUGCGCAGAUAUCAGGAGGAACACCGGUGGCGAAGGCGGGUCUCUGGGCCGAUACUGACGCUGAGGAGCGAAAGCGUGGGGAGCGAACAGGA